UACGGAAGGCAGCAGUGGGGAAUAUUGCACAAUGGGCGCAAGCCUGAUGCAGCCAUGCCGCGUGUAUGAAAAAGGCCUUCGGGUUGUAAAGUACUUUCAGUCGUGAGGAAGGUGUUAAGGUUAAUAACCUUAGCAAUUGACGUUAGCGACAGAAGAAGCACCGGCUAACUCCGUGCCAGCAGCCGCGGUAAUACGGAGGGUGCGAGCGUUAAUCGGAAUUACUGGGCGUAAAGGGCACGCAGGCGGUUAAUUAAGUUGGAUGUGAAUCCCCGGGCUUAACCUGGGAAUGGCAUUCAAGACUGGUUAGCUAGAGUCUUGUAGAGGGGGUAGAAUUCCAUGUGUAGCGGUGAAAUGCGUAGAGAUGUGGAGGAAUACCGGUGGCGAAGGCGGCCCCUGGACAAAGACUGACGCUCAUGUGCGAAAGCGUGGGGAGCAAACAGGGAUUAGAUACC
Molecule: ribosomal RNA, 452 nt
Filed under: uncultured bacterium
Lineage: Bacteria
Description: bacterial SSU rRNA
Rfam family: Bacterial small subunit ribosomal RNA
Source: RNAcentral